GAGUUGUGUUGAGUUUUUGUUAGUUCUUGCAAUAUGUAGAACUCAAAUUCGAGGGAAAGGAAGAUUUAGAUGAUAAUGAUUUGUUCCAGAGAUAUAAGUAGAAGUGAGCAGAUUUUGGUUUAAAUUGAAAACCUGAACCGAACCGAACCAAGUCAAUUCAGUUUAGUUUUAAAAUUCAAUCAAUUCAAUUUGGUUUUUAAAUUUUAAUAAUUUCGGUUAAUCGGUUUGGUUAGGUUAUUUUCAUAAAAAAUGAAAAAAAACCGAACCGAACCAAAA
This 276-nucleotide unclassified non-coding RNA is filed under the name Hevea brasiliensis (rubber tree). The record is from RNAcentral. Lineage: Eukaryota; Viridiplantae; Streptophyta; Magnoliopsida; Malpighiales; Euphorbiaceae.